Molecule: ribosomal RNA, 1549 nt
Filed under: Klebsiella pneumoniae
Lineage: Bacteria; Pseudomonadati; Pseudomonadota; Gammaproteobacteria; Enterobacterales; Enterobacteriaceae
Description: bacterial SSU rRNA
Rfam family: Bacterial small subunit ribosomal RNA
Source: RNAcentral
AAAUUGAAGAGUUUGAUCAUGGCUCAGAUUGAACGCUGGCGGCAGGCCUAACACAUGCAAGUCGAGCGGUAGCACAGAGAGCUUGCUCUCGGGUGACGAGCGGCGGACGGGUGAGUAAUGUCUGGGAAACUGCCUGAUGGAGGGGGAUAACUACUGGAAACGGUAGCUAAUACCGCAUAAUGUCGCAAGACCAAAGUGGGGGACCUUCGGGCCUCAUGCCAUCAGAUGUGCCCAGAUGGGAUUAGCUAGUAGGUGGGGUAACGGCUCACCUAGGCGACGAUCCCUAGCUGGUCUGAGAGGAUGACCAGCCACACUGGAACUGAGACACGGUCCAGACUCCUACGGGAGGCAGCAGUGGGGAAUAUUGCACAAUGGGCGCAAGCCUGAUGCAGCCAUGCCGCGUGUGUGAAGAAGGCCUUCGGGUUGUAAAGCACUUUCAGCGGGGAGGAAGGCGGUGAGGUUAAUAACCUCAUCGAUUGACGUUACCCGCAGAAGAAGCACCGGCUAACUCCGUGCCAGCAGCCGCGGUAAUACGGAGGGUGCAAGCGUUAAUCGGAAUUACUGGGCGUAAAGCGCACGCAGGCGGUCUGUCAAGUCGGAUGUGAAAUCCCCGGGCUCAACCUGGGAACUGCAUUCGAAACUGGCAGGCUAGAGUCUUGUAGAGGGGGGUAGAAUUCCAGGUGUAGCGGUGAAAUGCGUAGAGAUCUGGAGGAAUACCGGUGGCGAAGGCGGCCCCCUGGACAAAGACUGACGCUCAGGUGCGAAAGCGUGGGGAGCAAACAGGAUUAGAUACCCUGGUAGUCCACGCCGUAAACGAUGUCGAUUUGGAGGUUGUGCCCUUGAGGCGUGGCUUCCGGAGCUAACGCGUUAAAUCGACCGCCUGGGGAGUACGGCCGCAAGGUUAAAACUCAAAUGAAUUGACGGGGCCCGCACAAGCGGUGGAGCAUGUGGUUUAAUUCGAUGCAACGCGAAGAACCUUACCUGGUCUUGACAUCCACAGAACUUUCCAGAGAUGGAUUGGUGCCUUCGGGAACUGUGAGACAGGUGCUGCAUGGCUGUCGUCAGCUCGUGUUGUGAAAUGUUGGGUUAAGUCCCGCAACGAGCGCAACCCUUAUCCUUUGUUGCCAGCGGUCCGGCCGGGAACUCAAAGGAGACUGCCAGUGAUAAACUGGAGGAAGGUGGGGAUGACGUCAAGUCAUCAUGGCCCUUACGACCAGGGCUACACACGUGCUACAAUGGCAUAUACAAAGAGAAGCGACCUCGCGAGAGCAAGCGGACCUCAUAAAGUAUGUCGUAGUCCGGAUUGGAGUCUGCAACUCGACUCCAUGAAGUCGGAAUCGCUAGUAAUCGUAGAUCAGAAUGCUACGGUGAAUACGUUCCCGGGCCUUGUACACACCGCCCGUCACACCAUGGGAGUGGGUUGCAAAAGAAGUAGGUAGCUUAACCUUCGGGAGGGCGCUUACCACUUUGUGAUUCAUGACUGGGGUGAAGUCGUAACAAGGUAACCGUAGGGGAACCUGCGGUUGGAUCACCUCCUUACCUUAAAGAA